CCUUCCGGGGGCGCGCGCGCCGGUGCGGGUGCGUGCGUGAGCGUGCGCGUCCCCGCCGCCUCUGCCGGUGCUGCUCCCGCGCCCUCUGCUGCCGCCGUCGCCCGAGUCCCCCGCUGAGGAGCGCGUCGGCCGGCGGCCCAGCAGCGCCGCGGAGCGGGAGCCGAGCCGCGAGCCGGCGGGCGGCGGGCGGGCACAGACGAGCCUACCAUGGCAGACCAGAGGCAGCGAUCCCUGUCCACGUCUGGGGAGUCGCUGUACCAUGUGCUCGGGCUGGACAAGAAUGCGACCUCAGACGACAUCAAGAAGUCCUACCGGAAGCUCGCCUUGAAAUAUCACCCUGACAAGAACCCCGAUAACCCCGAGGCUGCAGACAAGUUCAAGGAGAUCAACAACGCGCACGCCAUCCUGACGGACGCGACCAAGAGGAACAUCUACGACAAGUACGGCUCGCUCGGGCUCUACGUGGCUGAGCAGUUUGGCGAAGAGAACGUCAACACGUACUUCGUGCUGUCCAGCUGGUGGGCCAAGGCGCUGUUUGUCUUCUGCGGGCUGCUUACCUGCUGCUACUGCUGCUGCUGCCUGUGCUGCUGCUUCAACUGCUGCUGCGGGCGCUGCAAGCCCAAGGCCCCCGAGGGCGAGGAGACCGAGUUCUACGUGUCGCCCGAGGACCUGGAGGCCCAGCUGCAGUCUGACGAGCGGGGAGGGCACUGACACGGUGCCGCGGGUGUGUGUGGCGGCAGCUGGCACUGUUGAGGUGUGAACCAGGAGCCCGGAGAGGCCUCGGACGCGCCCAUCGUCACCCAGCCGGCCUCCGCCACAGAGACCACCCAGCUCACGGCUGACUCCCACCCCAGCUACCACACCGACGGGUUCAAUUAGGCCAGAGCAGCUGUGACGAGAGGACCGGCCGGCGCCCGGCCGCUGCACCCCCAGCCAUGAACUGUAGUCGGCCCCGCCCGCCCGCCCGCCCAGGCGUAGCAUGCAGUACGUAAAGCAGUGUCGCUGCAGUCUCCUGUCUCCUUUUGUGAUAGCAUGUGUGAGUCACGCUCCGUGUCUGUGUCGUGGACGUGCCCGUGGUGGGGCUGCCGGCCAGCCGGCCGGUGCAGCCGGGGCCGCCCCGCACCUUCCCGCUGCUCCGUGCUCCGGUCCGGGGCGGCUGCUGCCCGGGGUGGGGCCCAGCGGCGUCUGUGCAGGACCCUGGCCGGACCACCAGGCUCUCCCCAGGGCGAGGGUCCGUGUCUGAGAGUGAAGCCACGUUUUGUGUGCCGUGUUCCCCGGGGGUCCUCGUCGCAUCCUGCCGGUGAGGAGGUCGUCUGUCUGCGUCCCUGUCCCUUUCCUAGGCCGUGAGCUGCACCCACGGGGCCCCGGCUCCCCCUGCCCGGGGCUGUCCCCCACAUUCCUUCCAGCGGGCCUGCCCCUCGCGUAGACUCACAGACGUAGCCCCGGCCCCAGUAGUCGUAGUCAGAGCCUGGGAGUCCAGCCUGUGGCCACGUGGGACGUCAGCACGCACCUGUGACAGACAGCCCCAACCCUGCCUGUGCUUGCCCUGCCUCCCCCCGCCCCCGCCCCGCCCCGCCCCGCCCGUGGCACCCGGCUCCUGCAGGAAGGACCAGGGAGGCCAUGGUGCAAGCUGGCAGCUGGACCUGGGACUCCCUGUAGGAACUGAUGUUAGUCUCCUGUGUCGCAGACCUUGUGGGCGGCACACGGGUGGGACCAGCGGCCUGUGCCGAUGUUGCUUUUGGCUGCUGGCUGCGUGACCGAGGUCAGGUGGCCCCGGGCGUUGCCAGGGCAGAGCUGAGGGGAGUGGGAUGUGCCGGCGGAGGGGCCCGGCUGGGGCCCAGCCACACACAGCUUCAUUUGUCCCAUUCUGCUUUGUUUUUUAAACAAAUGAUCGUUAAAGUGACCACGAAAGCGUUGAGAAGUCGGGGAAGAGAGCAGCAGGCCCCGUCUCCUGUGUGGAAUUUGUAAAACGAAAUGAAUCAUGUAGAAUUUGUAAAACGAAAUAAAUAAAACUGUUCUCAA
Non-coding RNA from Oryctolagus cuniculus (rabbit), 2022 nucleotides. The record is from RefSeq and is a predicted model, not a curated record. Lineage: Eukaryota; Metazoa; Chordata; Mammalia; Lagomorpha; Leporidae.